GCGAACGGCUUAGUAACACGUAGAUACAUACCUUAAAGUGGGGCAUAGCUCGUCGAAAGACGGGGGUAAUUUCCCAUGUGAACGCAAGUUUAAAGGCGCAAGCCGCUUUAAGAAUGGUCUGCGGUCUAUCAGCUAGUUGGUGAGGUAAUGGGCUCACCAAGGCUAUGACGGAUAGGGGGCGUGAGAGCGCGACCCCCAAGAAUGGCACUGCGACACGGGCCAUACUCCUACGGGAGGCUGCAGUCGAGAAUCUUCCGCAAUGGGCGAAAGCCUGACGCAGCAACGCCGCGUGGAGGAUGAAGGUCUUCGGAUUGUAAACUUCUGUCUAGUGAGAAGAAAGACUUGCUAAUAAAACGGGCAAGGGAUGACGGUAUCACUAAAGAAAGCACUGGCUAAUCUCGUGCCAGCAGCCGCGGUAAU
RNAcentral lists this ribosomal RNA (420 nucleotides) under uncultured bacterium. RNAcentral's name for it is "bacterial SSU rRNA". It matches the Rfam family "Bacterial small subunit ribosomal RNA", at positions 98 to 524 of the family's 1533-position model. The record is from RNAcentral.